RNAcentral lists this ribosomal RNA (1555 nucleotides) under Staphylococcus aureus RF122. Its description in RNAcentral is "16S ribosomal RNA". It matches the Rfam family "Bacterial small subunit ribosomal RNA". The record is from RNAcentral. Lineage: Bacteria; Bacillati; Bacillota; Bacilli; Caryophanales; Staphylococcaceae.
UUUUAUGGAGAGUUUGAUCCUGGCUCAGGAUGAACGCUGGCGGCGUGCCUAAUACAUGCAAGUCGAGCGAACGGACGAGAAGCUUGCUUCUCUGAUGUUAGCGGCGGACGGGUGAGUAACACGUGGAUAACCUACCUAUAAGACUGGGAUAACUUCGGGAAACCGGAGCUAAUACCGGAUAAUAUUUUGAACCGCAUGGUUCAAAAGUGAAAGACGGUCUUGCUGUCACUUAUAGAUGGAUCCGCGCUGCAUUAGCUAGUUGGUAAGGUAACGGCUUACCAAGGCAACGAUGCAUAGCCGACCUGAGAGGGUGAUCGGCCACACUGGAACUGAGACACGGUCCAGACUCCUACGGGAGGCAGCAGUAGGGAAUCUUCCGCAAUGGGCGAAAGCCUGACGGAGCAACGCCGCGUGAGUGAUGAAGGUCUUCGGAUCGUAAAACUCUGUUAUUAGGGAAGAACAUAUGUGUAAGUAACUGUGCACAUCUUGACGGUACUUAAUCAGAAAGCCACGGCUAACUACGUGCCAGCAGCCGCGGUAAUACGUAGGUGGCAAGCGUUAUCCGGAAUUAUUGGGCGUAAAGCGCGCGUAGGCGGUUUUUUAAGUCUGAUGUGAAAGCCCACGGCUCAACCGUGGAGGGUCAUUGGAAACUGGAAAACUUGAGUGCAGAAGAGGAAAGUGGAAUUCCAUGUGUAGCGGUGAAAUGCGCAGAGAUAUGGAGGAACACCAGUGGCGAAGGCGACUUUCUGGUCUGUAACUGACGCUGAUGUGCGAAAGCGUGGGGAUCAAACAGGAUUAGAUACCCUGGUAGUCCACGCCGUAAACGAUGAGUGCUAAGUGUUAGGGGGUUUCCGCCCCUUAGUGCUGCAGCUAACGCAUUAAGCACUCCGCCUGGGGAGUACGACCGCAAGGUUGAAACUCAAAGGAAUUGACGGGGACCCGCACAAGCGAUGGAGCAUGUGGUUUAAUUCGAAGCAACGCGAAGAACCUUACCAAAUCUUGACAUCCUUUGACAACUCUAGAGAUAGAGCCUUCCCCUUCGGGGGACAAAGUGACAGGUGGUGCAUGGUUGUCGUCAGCUCGUGUCGUGAGAUGUUGGGUUAAGUCCCGCAACGAGCGCAACCCUUAAGCUUAGUUGCCAUCAUUAAGUUGGGCACUCUAAGUUGACUGCCGGUGACAAACCGGAGGAAGGUGGGGAUGACGUCAAAUCAUCAUGCCCCUUAUGAUUUGGGCUACACACGUGCUACAAUGGACAAUACAAAGGGCAGCGAAACCGCGAGGUCAAGCAAAUCCCAUAAAGUUGUUCUCAGUUCGGAUUGUAGUCUGCAACUCGACUACAUGAAGCUGGAAUCGCUAGUAAUCGUAGAUCAGCAUGCUACGGUGAAUACGUUCCCGGGUCUUGUACACACCGCCCGUCACACCACGAGAGUUUGUAACACCCGAAGCCGGUGGAGUAACCUUUUAGGAGCUAGCCGUCGAAGGUGGGACAAAUGAUUGGGGUGAAGUCGUAACAAGGUAGCCGUAUCGGAAGGUGCGGCUGGAUCACCUCCUUUCU